Molecule: unclassified non-coding RNA, 382 nt
Filed under: soil metagenome
Description: partial contains 5.8S ribosomal RNA, internal transcribed spacer 2, and large subunit ribosomal RNA
Rfam family: 5.8S ribosomal RNA (bases 1-120)
Source: RNAcentral
GAUGAAGAACGUAGCGAAAUGCGAUAAGUAAUGUGAAUUGCAGAAUUCAGUGAAUCAUCGAAUCUUUGAACGCACCUUGCACCCUUUGGCAUUCCGAAGGGUAUGCUCGUUUGAGUGUCAUUGUACUCUCACACUUCUGAUCCUUUGGAUUGGGAGCGGUGGACUUGGGUGUUGCUGCUUUACUGUGGCUCACCUCAAAUGCAUUCGUGCAACUCUUGGUUGGACAUAGUACGGCGUGAUAAGUAUCUUCGCCGGCACCUCGCAAGAGGGUGGCUGAUCAGGAGCUCUGUGCUUUCCAUCUGUCUUCAGACAACAACUGACAACUUGACCUCAAAUCGAGUAGGACCACCCGCUGAACUUAAGCAUAUCAAUAAGCGGAGGA